This 23-nucleotide non-coding RNA is filed under the name Arabidopsis thaliana (thale cress). Lineage: Eukaryota; Viridiplantae; Streptophyta; Magnoliopsida; Brassicales; Brassicaceae. The record is from RNAcentral.
UGGAAGGAACCGUACCCCGCUUA